AGUCGAACGGUGAAGCCCCGCUUGCGGGGUGGAUCAGUGGCGAACGGGUGAGUAACACGUGAGCAACCUGCCCCUGACUCUGGGAUAAGCGCUGGAAACGGCGUCUAAUACUGGAUACGAGACGUGAUCGCAUGGUCAACGUUUGGAAAGAUUUUUCGGUUGGGGAUGGGCUCGCGGCCUAUCAGCUUGUUGGUGAGGUAAUGGCUCACCAAGGCGUCGACGGGUAGCCGGCCUGAGAGGGUGACCGGCCACACUGGGACUGAGACACGGCCCAGACUCCUACGGGAGGCAGCAGUGGGGAAUAUUGCACAAUGGGCGCAAGCCUGAUGCAGCAACGCCGCGUGAGGGAUGACGGCCUUCGGGUUGUAAACCUCUUUUAGCAGGGAAGAAGCGAGAGUGACGGUACCUGCAGAAAAAGCACCGGCUAACUACGUGCCAGCAGCCGCGGUAAUACGUAGGGUGCAAGCGUUAUCCGGAAUUAUUGGGCGUAAAGAGCUCGUAGGCGGUUUGUCGCGUCUGCUGUGAAAUCUGGGGGCUCAACCCCCAGCCUGCAGUGGGUACGGGCAGACUAGAGUGCGGUAGGGGAGAUUGGAAUUCCUGGUGUAGCGGUGGAAUGCGCAGAUAUCAGGAGGAACACCGAUGGCGAAGGCAGAUCUCUGGGCCGUAACUGACGCUGAGGAGCGAAAGGGUGGGGAGCAAACAGGCUUAGAUACCCUGGUAGUCCACCCCGUAAACGUUGGGAACUAGUUGUGGGGUCCAUUCCACGGAUUCCGUGACGCAGCUAACGCAUUAAGUUCCCCGCCUGGGGAGUACGGCCGCAAGGUA
Molecule: ribosomal RNA, 825 nt
Filed under: Microbacterium sp. TCA3-14_Pa
Lineage: Bacteria; Bacillati; Actinomycetota; Actinomycetes; Micrococcales; Microbacteriaceae
Description: bacterial SSU rRNA
Rfam family: Bacterial small subunit ribosomal RNA
Source: RNAcentral